Molecule: long non-coding RNA, 760 nt
Filed under: Fragaria vesca (wild strawberry)
Lineage: Eukaryota; Viridiplantae; Streptophyta; Magnoliopsida; Rosales; Rosaceae
Description: long non-coding RNA (FVES_LNC003370)
Source: RNAcentral
UGAUGUCGAAUGUCCAAGUAGUGUUCUUACAGAGGACCCAGAGCCAGAGGUCAUGGACAUGGAUCAAUUGGAAGCAGAACUUGAGUCUGAAUUGCAAAAACUUCCAUGGUGCUCUACAGAAGCUCCUCAGCAAGAGGGGUUCAGAAAUCUGGAAAAGGUCAGUCUUUAAUGUCAAAUACAUCCUAUUUGAAAAUGUUGAAUGUUCCUUUAUGCUGUUGCUAUCAACUACAUCUAACAAUUAGCUUAUGCUAUUUAUAAAAUAGUGGACAUAAAUUCAGUGUUUUUGGAUCAUGCAUGUUCAGCAGUCAUUGAAACUGAUCAGCACUAGAGUAGUAGGGUUUUAAUUACACCUUUGAUGUACCAGAGAGUGACAACCAUAUGUUGUAAAUCUAGAAACCUUCUGCUAAUGCCUGAUGUGUAUCUUAGCAUUGCGCUUUUGCUAUUUUUCUUCAACUCAAAAAAGAAACUAUAACUGUGAAAAUCAAAUUGUGCAUUACACAUUUUUCCUUUCUGACAAAAUUGCUCGUUCCCAUUUUAGGGUUUUGUCUCUGAUGAUUCAGCUCAAAAGUUUCAUGGACAAGCAGCAAAGGGUAUUGUUAUUGAGCAAUUUCAAGGAGUAUUACCAGCUGAGCUAGACCAGAAAUUAUGCCAUGUGCUCAUUGAACAGCAGGAAAGCCAAAUUGUGGAGCUGGAAUCCGGACUGCAGUCUGCCCAAUCGAAACUCCAAGAAAAAGAAACUGAACUUCAAGCAUUGAAGGAC